Molecule: long non-coding RNA, 338 nt
Filed under: Meleagris gallopavo (turkey)
Lineage: Eukaryota; Metazoa; Chordata; Aves; Galliformes; Phasianidae
Description: lncRNA (ENSMGAG00000021244.1)
Source: RNAcentral
CAGCAAUCAGGACGGCAAGCCAGCGGCCGGUAAGCGGGCGGCCCCUCCCGGGCGUCCCCGAGCCGUGGGAUGCCCACGUGCCUCUCUUGGUGUCUCUUGCAGGGGACGACGCGCAGUUCGAGAUGGACAUCUGACCGGGCGCCCGCCGCUCUCCUUCGCCAUUGCCCCGUUUAUUGGAACAGUGCCUGGAAAUGGAGGUGCUGCCUUCUGGGCUCCCAUCCUGGGCCUUCCCUGGGAAGUUUCAGCAGCCACGGCACUGGGAAGGUGCCGGCAUCUCCGUGCAGUGCAAACUCUUGGGUCCAGAUUAGACCCCUCUGGCACCUGGGCUCCCAAUUUCU